GCCGGAGUGCUGGAAUGGUAGACAGUCGGGACUCAAAAUCCCGUGGGGUGAAAACCCCGUGAGGGUUCGACUCCCUCCUCCGGCA
RNAcentral lists this transfer RNA (85 nucleotides) under Candidatus Uhrbacteria bacterium. RNAcentral's name for it is "tRNA-Leu". It matches the Rfam family "tRNA". Rfam says of the family: Transfer RNA (tRNA) molecules are approximately 80 nucleotides in length. Their secondary structure includes four short double-helical elements and three loops (D, anti-codon, and T loops). Further hydrogen bonds mediate the characteristic L-shaped molecular structure. tRNAs have two regions of fundamental functional importance: the anti-codon, which is responsible for specific mRNA codon recognition, and the 3' end, to which the tRNAs corresponding amino acid is attached (by aminoacyl-tRNA synthetases). tRNAs cope with the degeneracy of the genetic code in two manners: having more than one tRNA (with a specific anti-codon) for a particular amino acid; and 'wobble' base-pairing, i.e. permitting non-standard base-pairing at the 3rd anti-codon position. The record is from RNAcentral. Lineage: Bacteria; Candidatus Uhriibacteriota.